UGAAAAUAGUAAUUGUUGAACCUAUCUAACUAACACAAUAACCAAAGAAACGAUACCACAUAUAAGCCCUCAAUGAUGUCAGACAAUAUAUUCAAUUUAAAAAUUAUUAUAAAUUUAUAUUAUUAUUUUACUUUCACAAACGAUCAUUCUUCAUUUUUAGUUUUAGGAAGAAUGCAUAAUCAUUGAACAUUUAAGCUAUUACGUAAAAUUUAUGUCGCGGUCCAAGUUCUCCCUCUGUGAACUGUCGUGACGGCACCUAGUCUCUACAGCUAUGUAAGCCUAACAAAUUGCAGAAAAUAGAUUAAAGAUGCAAAACUAGCCAACUAACAGGUAAAUAUAAUUAAAAGAGUUGAAGAUGCCGCUCGGUAUAUACAAUAGUGACACUCUCGACUGAAUAUAACACUCUCAAAAUCCGAAAUCUCAUGGAUCACAAGCUAAAGAAAAAUACAUAGUAUUCUAACUCCAGAAGUCUAAACGAAGGAAAAAUACAAGAAGUCUAUAUUGAAGGGAGAAUAGAGAGGGACUUCUAGGUCUGCGGACGCGGCAGAUAUACCUCGAAUUCUCUGGAUCGCCUCGCCUCACGGGUAGUAUGGCUGAGCAGAAGAACCUGGAUCCGCACACGAAAAAUAUGUGCAGGAACGGGCAUGAGUACACCACAGCGGUACCCAGUAAGUGAUAAGCCUAACCUCGAUCGAGUAAUGACGAGAAAGGUCAGGGCCCUACCGGUUAUAUAUAUAUAACAAGAAAAAAAAAUAGUAUGAACAGUGACAACAUAAUUAAAAUACUAAUAGUCAAUAAAGAUGAAAUCAUAGAAAGAAAUAACUCAGUAUACAGAGAUAGCAACAGGGGAUCUCCCAGGAUAACGUCCCGUAGUCCCAAAUGUAAAUGUGUAGAGGAUCUCCCGGGAUACCAUCCCGUAGUCCAAAUCGUAAAUGUGCAGGGGAUCUCCCGGAAUACCGAUCUGUAGUCCCAAAGUAAAUAUCCAGUAUAGGGGGAUCUCCCGGGAUACAGUGUCGUAGUCCCAAAUAUAAAUGUGCAGGGGGAUCUCCCGGAAUACCGAUCCGUAGUCCCAAAUAAACAUGCAGGGUGUCGCGGCCCCUUUUUCCCUCCUCGCGGAGAGAGGUCCGACAUGUGACAACUCUUUUAAAUGGGUAUUAAAAGAGAGAGUCGCCACCUAACGGGUUUGAGGUGUGUUAGAGAACCUAUUUUGCAGAUAACUCUAUUUGACUAGUCAACAUCACCAAAGAUCGGGUAAGGGCUCAAAUUAUCUCAAAGAGAAGGUGUUAGUCACUCUUCGAGGUCCACAACUGUGGGUUCCGGUCGAAUUUAUACUAUGUGAAACUAUUGAAUUAAACUAGGAUGUAGAUUGCUAAGUUGUAAAUUAAUCCUAAAUGGUCAAGUAUAUACACCAAUUUAAAAGCAAUUAAUUAAAACCAGUCAUGAAAAAAUGUAAGGAUUGUAAAUCGUAGAAAGCCUACUUAAUUACAUAAAAGGGGGCCCUAAAUUUUUAAGCCUGAUGGAUCAACUCCCAUGCAAAAGUCUACUAAGACUUUUAUAGCCAAAUGUACAAUAGCUAUCGGGCAAUUUGUGUAUCAUGUCCGCUACCCUCAUUACUAUCUUUAAGUUGUUAACUUAAGAGCACACUAUUUAAUUCUAAAUCGCGUCUUAAUUCAAAACUACCCUUCCUACAGUCCAGGAGGCUUUGGACACUAUUCUAAAGGGUCGGUUCUAGACAUAACGAAAAUCUCAAGUUUCUGUUUCUAUUCUCAUUAGCGUCACAUAAGAGGGAGCACAUUAGGACUUAAACAAAUGACAGAUAAGGCAAGUAAGGGCUCAUGUUGGCCUCCGAAUUUAUUAAGCAAUUAGUUAAGGUGGUGAAAAUAAAUAAAUCUUAAGAUAAACGAAGUUAUUUGAUGUAAUACUCAAUGAUUAGAUACAUUGAAGCAAAUAUAAUUGAGAAUAAGUAUGGUAAAAAGACGUAUUUAAAUAAUAAGCAUGGCAGAAUAUUUAUAAAGGUAAUUUAAAUCUUUUAAUGGCCAAUAUAUAACUAAGAACACAUUACUCAUCAAAAGUUUGUAAAGCCAAGUGGGAUAAACGUGCUGAUAGGAAAAAAUUAAGUAAAUGAUAUGAUUGAAUGGCAAAAAUACUUGCAAAAUUCAUCUUGAUUUUUCGGAACCAAGGCGCUUGUAAAGAAAUUUCAGAUUUAAAAUAUAGCAAAAUAGUGCUUAUAGGAAAGAAAUGAUUUCAGAGCUAGAAAUAUGUUUCAAUUCUUGCGAAUAGUUUAAAAUAGACUCAAGUACUUGCAAAAUAGUUUCAUCACUAGAAUAGAGCUCCAAAUGAACUAAAAUAAUACUUGUAAAUUUAGGCAGUAAACAUCAGAAAAUUAAAAAAGAUGCUUUAAACGGUCUAUGUUGCUAUUUAUGAUUAAAACUUGACCAAUUCUCUUAACAUAUAGAUAGCACAUAGGAAAUCUGAUUUUUUUUCCUAUUAAUUAGUCCAUAUAGACAUGUAUUUAACGAUUUUAAAAGAUAACAAGUAAAUAAUUUAAGCAUGCCAAAACAUGAGGACAAGUAAUGAACCAAACAAAUAGCAAUUAGCACAUAACCCCUCUUACUACAAAGUGUUCAUACGUAUGGAACAGUCAUAUUAUCCUCUCUUUUUUUAUGAAAGACAAAUUAAUCAAUAUACUAAAGCAUUCUUCUAUGUGUUAAUGCAUUCACAGUAGAAAUCAUGAAAACAUAUGGAUAUUGUUCAUGAUUCUUUGGGAAAAAGUUAAAGUAUGGAGUAUUAACAAAUCGGGUGGUAUCACUUUCAUUGAUGCAAUCUUUUAAUCCCAAAUAUGAUAACUAGAUGAUCCGAAAUUAAAUAAAUUUAGGCAUACAAUUUCCAGUGCGUGAAAAGUCACAUGUAAUUCAAAGAAUCACAACCCACAAAGAGUUUGAGGGAUGUACCUGGGCGCUUCCAAGAUGACUGUUUAUAGUACUCGAGCAGAGUAAACAUUUAAACAAACUACUCUAUGUACAACUACCACGCAUGAAACUAAGAAAAAAUAUUGAAAGCUACUAUUCUAUACUUAACUAAUACCACAACAGGGAGACUAAAAAUAGAAUGACAAGAAACUAACCUGUUGCAAAGUGCCAAAUUAAUAAGAAAACCUGAAAUCCAAAUAAAUAGCCCGCGAAAAGAGCUUCGACAGCAAAAAUAAACCAACGAUCCCAGCGAUGAACUUUGAAUAGCAGGAACAUGAAAGAAUCCAAAUAUCGAGAGGGAUGAAAAGAAAUAAACUUUGCCUCGCCUUACAGCCGGCAAAGCGAGAAUUAAAGAGCAACUGGUGUAAUGAAUCUUAGUAAAUAAUAUGUAUGAUAAUCGCAGGGAAUAGCUGUGAUCAAAAUGUAGUCCUCCCCGUACGUAUCCUACUGAUGUAUUUAUAAGACUAACUCAACACUAGAGUUCAAAUUAUAAAAGGGAAGUAGAGAAAUUAGGAUUCUGCAAAAUAUGGUCUUGAAUUAAAAGGCAAAGAGCCGUUAGAGUGAGUGCCGAUCAAAUAAAGAUUGUGUGCAGCUUUAAACUUAAAAAAAAUCACAUGAAAAGAUUCGGACUUUUUAUAACCAAGAUAGGUAAAAAAAAGAAGAAGCAAUCAUCUGUAAAGGAAAGAAAAAAUGGAAAAGUACCAAAGCUUUUAUCUUACUUUGUGAGAGAUCUUGAAUUUGGACAGAUUCUCCAAAAAGAUUCAUACCCCCAAAUGUUUUGCUAAAAAUCGUUCUUUAAAGGAAGAAAUACUUUCUGAUUUGAGUGAUUAGGGAAGAGAUUGUCAAUGACAAUUAUUAAAAAAAAUGAAAAGGAUAAUUAAGGCAAGAAAAAAUAAAAAUAAAAAAAGUAAAGAGAGAAAAGCUAAAUAAGGUAAAUGGAUCAAAUAAUUGAAGGAGGAGAAUAGGGGUGUUCGGUGAUGGGGUUGACGGGAAAUUGG
This 3967-nucleotide long non-coding RNA is filed under the name Nicotiana tabacum (common tobacco). RNAcentral describes it as "long non-coding RNA (NTAB_LNC015917)". The record is from RNAcentral. Lineage: Eukaryota; Viridiplantae; Streptophyta; Magnoliopsida; Solanales; Solanaceae.